Small nuclear RNA from Oncorhynchus mykiss (rainbow trout), 117 nucleotides. Its record names the gene U5. It matches the Rfam family "U5 spliceosomal RNA". From Rfam's summary of the family: U5 RNA is a component of both types of known spliceosome. Lineage: Eukaryota; Metazoa; Chordata; Actinopteri; Salmoniformes; Salmonidae. The record is from Ensembl.
GGCUUCUGGUUUCUCUUCAUUACGCACAAGCCUUUCGCCUUUUACUAAAGACUUUGGUGGAGAGGAACACUUACGAGUUCAACAUAUUUUUGGAGGGGAUUUGCUUCUGUCAGAGCC